UACGUAGGGCGCAAGCGUUGUCCGGAAUUAUUGGGCGUAAAGAGCUCGUAGGCGGUCUGUCGCGUCGGCUGUGAAAACCCGGGGCUCAACCCCGGGCCUGCAGUCGAUACGGGCAGACUAGAGUGUGGUAGGGGAGACUGGAAUUCCUGGUGUAGCGGUGAAAUGCGCAGAUAUCAGGAGGAACACCGGUGGCGAAGGCGGGUCUCUGGGCCGAUACUGACGCUGAGGAGCGAAAGCGUGGGGAGCGAACAGG
Molecule: ribosomal RNA, 253 nt
Filed under: uncultured bacterium
Lineage: Bacteria
Description: partial 16S ribosomal RNA
Rfam family: Bacterial small subunit ribosomal RNA
Source: RNAcentral